RNAcentral lists this long non-coding RNA (2128 nucleotides) under Salmo salar (Atlantic salmon). RNAcentral's name for it is "lncRNA (ENSSSAG00000102308.1)". The record is from RNAcentral. Lineage: Eukaryota; Metazoa; Chordata; Actinopteri; Salmoniformes; Salmonidae.
GGGAAAACGAAAGUAAUCUGGACUUUAUUAAUAUUCACUAAACUAAAAGGAAAACAUUGUAGAAGCAGAAACAUAUCCAUUACCCUCCAGUAUGCCACAAAGGUGGUUUAAGCUUCCAAUAACACACAGGUCAGAGGUCACAUUCUUUUUUGUGUGUGGGGUUCAUUCCAAAAAACAAAAUGGCUGACUUAUUGACUUCCCCCUGCAGAGAAAAUCCUCUCUGCAUGCUACGGCAGGAGGAGGAUAUUCCAGAGUUAGAAAUUGACAUGGAUGAGUUGCUGGAUCUGUCAGACGCAGAACAGAGAGCAAAGCUACAUGACCUUCUUCAAGACUGUGGCAAGCCCAAAGAGGACUUCAUCGACGGCUUGCUGUAUCGGAUGAAGGGUCUUCGCAAGAUGUCCCUGAAAAAAUGAACCGAACUAGUUGGAGCGGAGACCAUGUGAAAUGAGACACCAUCCUCUCUCACCUGUAGCUGUGGAUGUGUGUACAGUGACAGUCCUCAUGUAUCUAGAUAUAUCCUUAUGUAUCCACAAUCUGCACUAUCAGUGUCUAUAUUAGUGGUUUGCAGCCCUUGUCAAAGAGGGUCCCCAUGGCCAGUCCGUCUUGGCCUUAUAUUAUUAGGACUAUUUGAUACCAUAUAUGUCUUACUCACAUAAGCCUGGUGGGUCUUCCAAUGGGGCAUCUGUGUAAAACUGAGUUUAAAUAUGACGUAAUAUAGCAUAGAGAUAUCCUACUAGAUUCAAACACCUCUUGGUAUCAGUUGCCUCUGAAGUAGAAUGAGAGAUCAUGCAGUCUAGUAUUGAUGGAUUAUCCAGUCUAUCGUUUAUGUCGAUGUUUUUCACUGUUAUGUUACAGAAUGGUUCACCAAUUCACCAUGGCCUGGUUUGUUUAGUUCUUCAGUGUUAAUGGACACUUCUGGCAUUUUGAAUAAUCAGAUCACAGCUUAUUGUUAUGUUGACAUUCUUUUUUAUUUAUUUUUUAUUUUGAAUGAAAUGUUUUCUCUGAUUAAUCCCCUGCUAUGACUAGCCCAAGAAUGUACUGUGAAUAUGGUUACUAAUGUUUGUGUUUAGCUUAAGGUAUUGUUUUAAAAGAAGCAGUGCUGUCAUUAACUUGCCCCAACUGUUACAUCGGAAUUUCAAAUGGGAUCUCUAAUAGAAAAUAUGUGUACUGUGAUGUUACUUAUGAUAUUCUGGAAAAUAUCUCACCUAAAACAAAUUCACUUCAAUCCAUAAAAGGGCAGUUAGGCAUCACAAAAUGUCGAUGAGCUGAGGAACCGCGAAAGAUCCCAAUGGGGGAUCUAAACUUUUGCUGUUUGUGCAUUUCAAUAAAUCAGUGGAAGCAUAUCAGAGUUGUGACAUUCUUCAGGGCAGAAGGUAGCAGAGCGUUAAGCCAGUAACCAAAAGGUGGCUGGUUCGAAUAUCCGAGCCGACAAGGUGAAAAAUGUGUCGAUGUGUACUUGAGCAAGGCACUUAACCUUAAAUUGAUCCAGGGGUGCUGUACUACAAUGGCUGACCCUGUAAAACAACACAUUUCACUGCACCUAUCUGUAAAACAACACAUUUCACUGCACCUAUCUGUAAUACAACACAUUUCACUGCACCUAUCUGUAAUACAACACAUUUCACUGCACCUAUCUGUAAUACAACACAUUUCACUGCACCUAUCUGUAAAACAACACAUUUCACUGCACCUAUCUGUAAAACAACACAUUUCACUGCACCUAUCUGUAAUACAACACAUUUCACUGCACCUAUCUGUAAUACAACACAUUUCACUGCACCUAUCUGUAAAACAACACAUUUCACUGCACCUAUCUGUAAAACAACACAUUUCACUGCACCUAUUUGUAAAACAACACAUUUCACUGCACCUCUCUGUAAUACAACACAUUUCACUGCACCUAUCUGUAAAACAACACAUUUCACUGCACCUAUCUGUAAAACACAUUUCACUGCACCUAUCUGUAAAACAACACAUUUCACUGCACCUAUCUGUAAAACAACACAUUUCACUGCACCUAUCCACAAAUAUUUAAUUAAACGUAAUUUAUUUCAUUUGAGGCUGGUUCAAACUACUCCCAAAUGUUCUUACCAUUGAAUUAGUUUAUGUAUUAUAUUGCAUUUUCUGA